GUCUGGUUUUACCUGGUUUUAAUAGCAGAUUUGUUUUAUCCGCAUACGCAGAUGAUAUUAUUGUUUUUAUUAAAAGCCAGAGAGAUGCGGACAUUUUAACAGAUAUAGUAGAUAGUUUUAGUGUAACAUCGGCAGCGAAGGUAAAUUGGAAGAAAAGUGAGGCCCUCGCUGUCGGGGAGUGGCGUGGCGGUCUCCCAGUUCUUCCCCAGAGCCUCACCUGGAGAACUGACGGCCUGAAAUAUCUCGGAGUAUUUGUAGGAAAAGAAAUUAUUGUCCAGAAGAACUGGGAGAACGUCACAGAAAAGAUUCAGGGAAAGCUUUCCAAGUGGAAGUGGCUGCUCCCUCAGAUGUCUUUUAAAGGUAGGGUUUUGGUUUUAAACAACCUUGUAGCAUCCCAAUUGUGGCACCGUCUGACCUGUGUAGACCCUCCCUCUGGCCUUUUAGCAAAACUGCAGAAAGAAAUGGUAGAUUUUUUUUGGGAUGGUCUACACUGGGUGCCACAGGGGGUGCUGUUUUUAUCCAGAGAGGAGGGGGGACAGGGCCUUGUCCACCUGGCCAGCCGAACAGCCACUUUUAGACUUCAGUUUUUACAAAAAUAUCUUACCGGCCCGGCUGAUUUGGUGUGGAGAGAUGUGACCAGCUGCAUUCUCAGACGUGUAAAUAACCUGGGGCUGGAUGCUGCUCUGUUUUUAACUGAUUCUAAUUUUUUAAAGUUAAAUGGGCUGCCUCCAUUUUAUCAGGGUGUUUUUAAGUCUUGGGCCCUUUUUAAUCAUAAAAGGUGUCCAAUGUCGGACUCUCUGCACUGGUUGUUGAAGGAGCCUUUAAUUUACAGAGCCAGGCUGGACGUCAGCAGCAGCAGCACACCCAGCCUGAUGGUGGCGCUCUGCAGGUCCAGAACCCUGUGCCUGCAGCAACUGGUGGAUGCAGUGGGGCCGGCGCUGAGUGAUGCCCGAGCCCUGGGCUUGCUGCUGGGUCUGACCUCCGUUCGAGUGGCUGAGAGGAUUCUGGAGCUGUGGAGUCAGAGGCUAUCGGGGAAGGAGAAGACAAUAAUAAAAGACUACAGUGACGGGAAGGCUUCUCCAGACCCAGCAGACCCUUUUCCAGAGAUCAACCUGAGCCCAGGGCUGGGAGAACUGACCGGUCCCCUGCUCAAGGUCAUUAACCCGGCAGGACUGACGCUGCACAGAGCCGACAAAAAGACUCUAUAUAUGAACUGUGUCAAAAGCAUCCACAAGAAAGGCCUGUGCAGCAGACCCUCCACUGUGUGGAGCAACAGACUGGGUUCAGGAAGUGGACCAAGCCCACAGUGGGGGUCUUUUUACAAACCUCCCCUCAAAAAGCGGACAGCCGACCUCCAGUGGAGGAUUUUACAUGGUGCCGUCGCUUGUAACGCUUUUAUCGCCGUUAUUAAUCCCGCUGUUUUUAACAAAUGCCCUUUCUGCAACCUACGUGAGACUGUAUUCCAUGUUUUUACUGAGUGUAAGAGACUCACAGAGUUCUUCUCUCUUUUAACAUUGGUUUUUAGUCUUUUUAACGUAGUUUUUACCGAGAGUCUUUUUAUCAUGGGAUACAAAAAAGACAACAAAGAAAAGUGGCAGCUCCUAAAUUUCCUCCAAAAAUGGCCAUAUACAUUAGCAGGAAAAACAGAGUUGAGAACAGAGAGGGGCAGGAGGCCAAGACAGUGUGGCUGUGCAAUAUCAGGGCAAGACUCUGGCUCGAUUUUAGGUUUCACAAACAUACCGGGGAUCUCGACACUUUUAAAGAACGUUGGUGUUUUAAAAAUAUUAUCUGCACUGUGAACAAUGAAUGUUUACACUUUGCACAGGUUUUUAUUGGAUAAUUUUUUAUCAAUAGUUGUUAUUUAUAAAUGUAUAUUUUUUG
Cottoperca gobio is the source of this 1881-nucleotide long non-coding RNA. Lineage: Eukaryota; Metazoa; Chordata; Actinopteri; Perciformes; Bovichtidae. The record is from Ensembl.